This 3528-nucleotide long non-coding RNA is filed under the name Scophthalmus maximus (turbot). RNAcentral's name for it is "lncRNA (ENSSMAG00000028777.1)". The record is from RNAcentral. Lineage: Eukaryota; Metazoa; Chordata; Actinopteri; Pleuronectiformes; Scophthalmidae.
CUCCCAACAUGAUGCCUUACCAGGUGAACAGUUCCCCUCUGCCCGCCGCGAAGGCAGUGACGUCAGAGCGGAGCAGGAUGAGCGGCCGGCAGCGCGGCGGUCCUGAUGCUGCGGGACAUGCGGCGCUCAGGCAAAACAACUACACGAGGACCAAACUUCCGGUGAUACAGCCGCUGAGCAGGUCCAGGGAUGGGGGGUCCUUGAUCGGCGGCUUCAUAUUCGCAGGGUCACCUGAAUUGGCUAAAGAUGCAAAGCUGGAAUCAGAGAACACCGACCCAGGGGACAUCUGUGGCAGACACUUCCUCUUUGAUAAGAAAUGUGCGAGGUUUGAGCGGACCAGGACUGUGUUUCCUCCUCUGCAGAGAGACUACCGUGUGCACAGACCUGGCACCCUGUGUCCCUUAAGCUUCGCCAAGGAGCUUUCCCACAGCCAUGCAGCGCAGCAGCCCUUCAUCCUGGGUUACCCUGAGCGAUAUGAACUGAACCCAGGUCAAGCCCCCCCGUUCCUCUCCACUUUAUACCUCAAGGGCAGAAACCCUGUCUCGGUUGAAAGCUGCAAACUCAGCAGGCCUAAGGCGCAUCAUCCAAACUACCACCUGUCGACUGUUAAAGACAGUCAGAAGAGUGAGUUGUUUCAAUGGUUUUGACUGUGCAGCCAAAGUAUAUGCUCUUUUUCCCCACUCAGGUAUAUGUUGUGGUCUUAACACGUCAAGUCAGAAUCCCCUGUCUGUGUUGCAAGUGAAAAAAGAGAGUCUUAACCUUCGACCUGUACAGGUGUUCAUGACAUUGAUUUGCUGGCAGCAAAGGUGUAAUUUUAGUGGAUUUUGACUCUCUUCAAACAAAAAGCGCAGAUCCCCGGGCCUCGUGUUGUCAGUUCAGGGCAACUUGUUAGCUCUGGUACAUAACAGAGAGCGACAAGGGGUCACAUGGAGAAAGGGAGUGUUCAGUGUUGCCAAGUGGAAUGAGGGUUCAUAUUUCACCGGUUUGCUCCAGUUUUUUUCUAAGGGCUUUCUCUUUUAGUUUAACCACCAUACACUGAAUUAUUUUGUGAAGCACUCAGUUGAUGGACAUUUUUUACUGCCAAUUGAUAUUACUUAUAGAUAGAUAGAUAGAUAGAUAUGUACUUUAUUGAUCCCAAGCUGGGAAAUCCCGGUGUUACAGCAGCAAGUUUCACACAACACACCUUAAAAAAUAUACAAUUAUAUUCAAAAACAAUUGCAAUAAAUAUAGAGAAUAAGGACAGUAAAUAUAAAGAAUUUACAUGAAAUAUUAAUAGUGGAAAAUAGUGUAGUAUGUACAAUCAGUUACCAGUAAUGUUCAAAAGAACAUGGUAACAUAAAGGUGCAAAUGUGCCAGGAUUUGUGUUUUUAAUUUAAUUUAGUUAAUCAGUGCCACUUACAGAUUGAGAUUGUACCUUAUAUAAUGUUUUAUUUCUCAGGUAUAUACCAUAUUAUUGUAUUAUAGGUCUCAUCCUAACUUCUGUUAUGCUACGCUUUUCUCUCCGACUGUUUACUUCCUCUCCUCUUGCCACACAGGCCAGUCCUAUCCCGACCCGGUGGUCGGAGCCUCUCGCUCUUUUAUCCACAAGGUAUCGAAGCUGUCCUCUCUGGAGGCUGAGACGGUGAGACAAGAGAAGCUCAAGAAAACAAGGAAACCUCCAUCCUGACAAUCACCUGCUCCCCAGUCGCACUGGUCGAGGAUCAAAACCAUUGAGUCUGUGCCAACGACCUCUGAGCAGGAUCAAACGUUCAGGGCGCCGUGUUCGUUUCAGUGGCUCCUUCUCACGGCUUGUUUAUCCUCAGUGACAUUAGUUUUCUGCCUCACAUGGCUCGUCUUCACAUUUUGGGAUUCCUGACCAAGAGCGUCUCUCUUUUGGUGACCACAUAUAGUAUUAUAUAUAUACAUAUACACAGUAUAGUAUAUAGUAUACCUUGCAGCAAAUGCCCUACAAUAAACGGGGAUAAUAAAUCCAAAUAAUUUUUUCCAUUUUGAUUCCCAGCUCUGUGUAGCUCACCACUCAACACCUGCACAGUUAUCUGACCUUUUUAAUGGCUGUUGUGUAAUAUGACCAUAUUUCUUGCCGUAUCAUCAGUAUGUAGCAGAUACCGUCUGGCUUUGAUUUUACUACAACAGUGUUUCGAAGAUUACUGUUAAAUACCAAUUAGGAUUUGUUAAGCAAGUGGGACAUUGAUGUAUGAAAUAGUUUAGAAGAACUAUUACUGUGCCUUGUAAAACGUCUUCCUGCAAUAAAAAAAAAAGUAUUUUUAGUAGCACAAGAACGUCUUCUCUAAUUUGAAUCGUUAUAUUUGUUUUGCGGCUUCUAUUGAACGAAAGCUGACGAAGGGAGCUUCAUGUUCCCUUUGGCGCAUACGCUACAUUGCGACUCAUACAGUCAGCAAAAUGUCUAAAAGCUGCAAUGAAACAUAAUCUGCAUUCCAUAUCUCCCAAACAGACACAAAGCUGUGCCCCCACAUCCCAGAAUGUGGUGCUUUCCCACAUGGCACGUUGUUGUGUUGGCGUAUAGAAGGCAGAUGCCAGUCAGACCAGUUGUCGUUUUGUUUAUUCACUAUUAUUUGAAGAUGUUACAACAAGCUAUACAGCCACAGACUCUGCCUGAAGCAGGGGGGGCAUGCUGUCUAUAAAUAUUAAAAAGCAGAAAAUGAAAAAAAGGAAUAAUUCAAUAUGUCCAAAAUGAAGUUGUUGCAGCUGUCCCACAUGUCUCUGCUGUGUGUCAUCUCUCCAUCACAGUCACUUUCAGUUUUGUGCAGUAUUUAUCAGAAUGUCACGUGGAAACCGUCUAGAUGGCCACGUCUGUGUCAUCUGAAGGAUGACAGCAAUCCUGCAGUCUGAAGUGACUCAGCGCGGAGGCCAACAGGCCUCAAAGUGACAGAUCAUGACUUUCCGAUGAAGUGAAAAGCGUUCAAGUGAGAGAGCAAGGUAUUUGUUUUGUUAUUUUUUAUGACAUUAAAUAAAGUGGAGACAGAUGAUCAAAAAACAGUGGCAACACACUGAGCUCCCUGUUAAAUACGAAUGUGACGACGUGGGAUGACGGGCAGUGUUUCUGUUUCCCUCUGGAUCGUAAGGUGUGCACUUCAGGGACACAGUGACCUAGAAACAUGGAGCCAAGUGAAGGGGGUGCGUUCAUGCCCAAAUGGAGGCCCGGCCUCUUGUCGGGUUUUUACCGUCCUUUUCAAGUGUACUGACACAAAAUGACCUCGAACAAACCGUCAACAAUGAGGUCUUUAAUAAGAGCCGUACUGGGGCCUGCCACCAAGUGGUUUGUCCUUUCACUGCGAGUCGACGUGACUGUUAACCAGGACACCACUGUACCAUUCAACCAAUUUCUACAGAUCAUAGAGACGUCGAUGCAAAAAUGCAAACUUAUUUUAUCGUUAAUUAAAAGUUCUAACAGCUUCAGGUGCAUUUCCAAAUCUUGGUUACGGUUGUUUUGCUGCCAAUAUCCGGUUGUAUUGUAUUAACAAUCAGGAGACGAAAGAGUAUUCGCUUUUGUGAAGAAUAGCUAGGUUG